This 774-nucleotide ribosomal RNA is filed under the name uncultured Neocallimastigales. Its description in RNAcentral is "partial large subunit ribosomal RNA". It matches the Rfam family "Eukaryotic large subunit ribosomal RNA", at positions 24 to 635 of the family's 3401-position model. Lineage: Eukaryota; Fungi; Neocallimastigomycota; Neocallimastigomycetes; Neocallimastigales. The record is from RNAcentral.
UAUCUCUGUAGAGUCUGCAUAUCAAUAAGCGGAGGAAAAGAAACUAACUAGGAUUCCCUUAGUAACGGCGAGUGAAGCGGGAAGAGCUCAAAUUUGAAAUCUUCAAGGUUUUACCUUGACGAAUUGUAGUUUAAAGAAGUGUUUUCUGUUGGAGUUUUGGUAAAAGUUCUUUGGAAUAGGACAUCAUAGAGGGUGAGAAUCCCGUAUUUGACCAUUACUUCCAGCUUUGUGAUACACUUUCAAAGAGUCGGAUUGUUAGGGAAUGCAGUCCAAAAUGGGUGGUAAAUUUCAUCUAAAGCUAAAUAUUGGCGAGAGACCGAUAGCGAACAAGUACCGUGAGGGAAAGAUGAAAAGAACUUUGAAAAGAGAGUUAAACAGUACGUGAAAUUGUCAAAAGGGAAGCGUUUGACACCAGUGUUGUUUUCUCGAAAAUCAAUUAAAAAAGGCAGGAUUUUGUGUUGUAUUGACUUUAUCAGCUUUCUGCACUCUUUUCUUGUCUUUUUUAAUGCACUUUUCGUUUAACAAGUCAACAUCAAUUUCUUUUGUUGUAAAAGGGUCAUUGGAAGGUGGCUUUCUUUUCGGAGAAAGUGUUUAUAGCCUUUGGCCUCUGCAAUCGGAGAGAUUGAGGUCUGCAGCGUAGAUCCUUCGGGGUUAGAUACAUUUGUGCUAAGUUAUAGCCUUUCAUAGACAACUUGUUGACUAUGAUCAGUCAUGUAGCUUACUCGCUUAUGCUAUUUUACCUACGCUUAGGAUGUUGAAGAUGUAGCACAUCAU